Molecule: ribosomal RNA, 460 nt
Filed under: uncultured bacterium
Lineage: Bacteria
Description: partial 16S ribosomal RNA
Rfam family: Bacterial small subunit ribosomal RNA
Source: RNAcentral
CCUACGGGAGGCAGCAGUGAGGAAUAUUGGUCAAUGGGCGCGAGUCUGAACCAGCCAAGUAGCGUGAAGGAUGACUGCCCUCCGGGUUGUAAACUUCUUUUAUAAAGGAAUAAAGUGAGGCACGUGUGACUUUUUGUAUGUACUUUAUGAAUAAGGAUCGGCUAACUCCGUUCCAGCAGCCGCGGUAAUACGGAGGAUCCGAUCGUUAUCCGGAUUUAUUGGGUUUAAAGGGAGCGUAGAUGGGUUGGUAAGUCAGUUGUGAAAGUUUGCGGCGCAACCGUAAAAUUGCAAUUGAUACUGGCAGUCGUGAGUACAGUUGAGGUAGGCGGAAUUCGUGGUGUAGCGGUGAAAUGCGUAGAUAUCACGAAGAACCCCGAUUGCGAAGGCAGCUUACUAAACUGUGACUGACAUUGAUGCUCGAAAGUGUGGGUAUCAAACAGGAGUAGAUACCCGAGUAGUC